RNAcentral lists this ribosomal RNA (220 nucleotides) under Diaporthe sp. CLS-3. Its description in RNAcentral is "partial 18S ribosomal RNA". It matches the Rfam family "Eukaryotic small subunit ribosomal RNA", at positions 1613 to 1830 of the family's 1831-position model. RNAcentral also lists the same sequence under 1 other name. Lineage: Eukaryota; Fungi; Ascomycota; Sordariomycetes; Diaporthales; Diaporthaceae. The record is from RNAcentral.
CCUAGUAAGCGCAAGUCAUCAGCUUGCGUUGAUUACGUCCCUGCCCUUUGUACACACCGCCCGUCGCUACUACCGAUUGAAUGGUUCAGUGAGGCUUUCGGACUGGCCCAGGGAGGUCGGCAACGACCACCCAGGGCCGGAAAGUUAUCCAAACUCGAUCAUUUAGAGGAAGUAAAAGUCGUAACAAGGUCUCCGUUGGUGAACCAGCGGAGGGAUCAUU